CCUGACGAGUCGCGACAACGGACGCCGCUCCACUCCCCGCAACCGAUUCCAUAUGGCGAGCCAUGGUGACAGCCAUGACUCCACCCCAUUACUCUUCAUGAUAAAUUCCUCCUGACCCCGUACGGCCCACGAUGAGGCGAUCAUAAACAGUCGCUAUCAAUCCUUUGCUCCCCCCGUCUAUAAAAGGGGGACCCCAGAUACGUUAUUCUCUAAGCUCUCAUUUUCUUACCUAGAAACUCUGCUAAAAUUUUCAUUCGAGCACUCCAUUCUUGUUGAGGCAGAGAACUGACUUGAGCAUCGGAGGAUCUUGCCGGAGCAACC
RNAcentral lists this long non-coding RNA (321 nucleotides) under Elaeis guineensis (African oil palm). RNAcentral's name for it is "long non-coding RNA (EGUI_LNC057685)". Lineage: Eukaryota; Viridiplantae; Streptophyta; Magnoliopsida; Arecales; Arecaceae. The record is from RNAcentral.